AUUGAACGCUGGCGGCAGGCUUAACAUAUGCAAGUCGAGCGGAGAGAGGUAGCUUGCUACUGAUCUUAGCGGCGGACGGGUGAGUAAUGCUUAGGAAUCUGCCUAUUAGUGGGGGACAACAUUUCGAAAGGAAUGCUAAUACCGCAUACGUCCUACGGGAGAAAGCAGGGGAUCUUCGGACCUUGCGCUAAUAGAUGAGCCUAAGUCGGAUUAGCUAGUUGGUGGGGUAAAGGCCUACCAAGGCGACGAUCUGUAGCAGGUCUGAGAGGAUGAUCCGCCACACUGGGACCGAGACACGGCCCAGACUCCUACGGGAGGCAGCAGUGGGGAAUAUUGGACAAUGGGCGGAAGCCUGAUCCAGCCAUGCCGCGUGUGUGAAGAAGGCCUUAUGGUUGUAAAGCACUUUAAGCGAGGAGGAGGCUACUUUAGUUAAUACCUAGAGAUAGUGGACGUUACUCGCAGAAUAAGCACCGGCUAACUCUGUGCCAGCCGCCGCGGUAA
This 501-nucleotide ribosomal RNA is filed under the name uncultured bacterium. RNAcentral's name for it is "partial 16S ribosomal RNA". It matches the Rfam family "Bacterial small subunit ribosomal RNA", at positions 30 to 523 of the family's 1533-position model. The record is from RNAcentral.